RNAcentral lists this microRNA precursor (225 nucleotides) under Oryza glumipatula. RNAcentral's name for it is "MIR812 microRNA precursor family". It matches the Rfam family "MIR812 microRNA precursor family". Lineage: Eukaryota; Viridiplantae; Streptophyta; Magnoliopsida; Poales; Poaceae. The record is from Rfam by way of RNAcentral.
AAUAAAUGUAGUUUUAUGUUGUUCAUAUUCAACGUUUGACUGUUCGUCUUAUUUUUAAAAUAUUUAUGAUUAGUAUUUUUAUUGUUGUUACUCUUAGAUGAUAAAACAUGAAUUGUAUUUUAUGUGUGACUAUUUUUAUUUAUUUAUUUAUUUAUUUAUUUAUUUAUUUAUUUAGAUAAGACGAACGAUCAAAUAUUGAACACGAAUACCACGGCUGCACUUAUU